RNAcentral lists this transfer RNA (73 nucleotides) under Marmota monax (woodchuck). Its description in RNAcentral is "tRNA.Ala". Lineage: Eukaryota; Metazoa; Chordata; Mammalia; Rodentia; Sciuridae. The record is from RNAcentral.
UGGGGUUUUGACUCAGUGGUAGAGUGCUCGCCUAGCACGUGCAAGUCCCUGGGUUCAAUCCUCAGCACCACAU